CGGAGGGUGCGAGCGUUAAUCGGAAUUACUGGGCGUAAAGCGCGCGCAGGCGGUUCGGUAAGUCAGAUGUGAAAUCCCCGGGCUUAACCUGGGAAUUGCAUUUGAUACUGCCGAACUAGAGUAUGGGAGAGGGAAGUGGAAUCUCCGGUGUAGCGGUGAAAUGCGUAGAGAUCGGAGGGAACACCAGUGGCGAAGGCGGCUUCCUGGCCCAAUACUGACGCUCAGGCGCGAAAGCGUGGGGAGCAAACAGGAUUAAAUACCCUGGUAGUUCCACGCCGUAAACGAUGAGAACCUGAUGUCGGGAGGGUCUGCCUCUCUGUGUCGGAGCUAACGCGUUAAGUUCUCCUCCUGGGGAGUACUGCCGCAAGGUUGAAACUUAAAGGAAUUGACGGGGGCCCGCACAAGCGGUGGAGCAUGUGGUUUAAUUCGAUGCAACGCGAAGAACCUUACCUGGUCUUGACAUCCACAGAACUUUCCAGAGAUGGAUUGGUGCCUUCGGGAACUGUGAGACAGGUGCUGCAUGGCUGUCGUCAGCUCGUGCCGUGAGGUGUCCGGUUAAGUCCGGUAACGAGCGCAACCCCUAUCUUUAGUUGCCAUCACUUCGGGUGGGCACUCUGAAGAGACUGCCAGCGACAAGCCGGAGGAAGGUGGGGACGACGUCAAGUCAUCAUGGCCCUUACGUCUUGGGCUACACACGUGCUACAAUGGCUAGUACAAUGGGUCGCAAACUCGCGAGGGUGAGCCAAUCCCAUCAAAGCUAGUCUCAGUUCAGAUUGCAGGCUGCAACUCGCCUGCAUGAAGUUGGAAUCGCUAGUAAUCGUGGAUCAGCAUUGCCACGGUGAAUACGUUCCCGGGCCUUG
RNAcentral lists this ribosomal RNA (860 nucleotides) under uncultured Gammaproteobacteria bacterium. RNAcentral's name for it is "bacterial SSU rRNA". It matches the Rfam family "Bacterial small subunit ribosomal RNA", at positions 526 to 1383 of the family's 1533-position model. The record is from RNAcentral. Lineage: Bacteria; Pseudomonadati; Pseudomonadota; Gammaproteobacteria.